RNAcentral lists this ribosomal RNA (396 nucleotides) under uncultured bacterium. RNAcentral describes it as "bacterial SSU rRNA". It matches the Rfam family "Bacterial small subunit ribosomal RNA", at positions 362 to 775 of the family's 1533-position model. The record is from RNAcentral.
UCUUGGACAAUGGGGGAAACCCUGAUCUAGCCAUGCCGCGUGAGUGAUGAAGGCCUUAGGGUUGUAAAUCUCUUUCAGCUGGGAAGAUAAUGACGGUACCAGCAGAAGAAGCCCCGGCUAACUCCGUUCCAGCAGCCGCGGUAAUACGGAGGGGGCUAGCGUUGUUCGGAAUUACUGGGCGUAAAGCGCACGUAGGCGGACCAGAAAGUUGGGGGUGAAAUCCCGGGGCUCAACCUCGGAACUGCCUUCAAAACUAUUGGUCUGGAGUUAGAGAGAGGUGAGUAGAAUUCCGAGUGUAGAGGUGAAAUUCGUAGAUAUUCGGAGGAACACCAGUGGCGAAGGCGGCUCACUGGCUCGAUACUGACGCUGAGGUGCGAAAGCGUGGGGAGCAAACAG